RNAcentral lists this ribosomal RNA (200 nucleotides) under uncultured eukaryote. RNAcentral's name for it is "partial 18S ribosomal RNA". It matches the Rfam family "Eukaryotic small subunit ribosomal RNA", at positions 588 to 791 of the family's 1831-position model. The record is from RNAcentral.
GCUCCAAUAGCGUAUAUUUAAGUUGCUGCAGUUAAAAAGCUCGUAGUUGGAUUUCGGGCGGGUGACGACGGUCCGCCUCUGGUGUGCACUGCCGUUCAUCCGCCUUUCUGUCGGGGACGUGCUCCUUGGCUUCACUGUCAGGGACACGGGUUCGACGAGGUUACUUUGAGUAAAUUAGAGUGUUCAAAGCAGGCAUCGCC